This 301-nucleotide ribosomal RNA is filed under the name uncultured bacterium. RNAcentral describes it as "partial 16S ribosomal RNA". It matches the Rfam family "Bacterial small subunit ribosomal RNA", at positions 509 to 807 of the family's 1533-position model. The record is from RNAcentral.
CAGUAGCCACGGUAAUACGGAGGAUCCAAGCGUUAUCCUGAAUCAUUGGGUUUAAAGGGUCCGUAGGCGGUCUUGUAAGUCAGUUGUGAAAGCCCAUCGCUCAACGGUGGAACGGCCAUUGAUACUGCAGGACUUGAAUUAUUGGGAAGUAACUAGAAUAUGUAGUGUAGCGGUGAAAUGCUUAGAGAUUACAUGGAAUACCAAUUGCGAAGGCAUGUUACUACCAAUUGAUUGACGCUGAUGGACGAAAGCGUGGGUAGCGAACAGGAUUAGAUACCCGCGUAGUCCCUGUCUCUUAUAC